AUUGAACGCUGGCGGCAGGCCUAACACAUGCAAGUCGAGCGGAUGAAGGGAGCUUGCUCCUGGAUUCAGCGGCGGACGGGUGAGUAAUGCCUAGGAAUCUGCCUGGUAGUGGGGGAUAACGUCCGGAAACGGGCGCUAAUACCGCAUACGUCCUGAGGGAGAAAGUGGGGGAGCUUCGGACCUCACGCUAUCAGAUGAGCCUAGGUCGGAUUAGCUAGUUGGUGGGGUAAAGGCCUACCAAGGCGACGAUCCGUAACUGGUCUGAGAGGAUGAUCAGUCACACUGGAACUGAGACACGGUCCAGACUCCUACGGGAGGCAGCAGUGGGGACUAUUGGACAAUGGGCGAAAGCCUGAUCCAGCCAUGCCGCGUGUGUGAAGAAGGUCUUCGGAUUGUAAAGCACUUUAAGUUGGGAGGAAGGGCAGUAAGUUAAUACCUUGCUGUUUUGACGUUACCAACAGAAUAAGCACCGGCUAACUUCGUG
Molecule: ribosomal RNA, 484 nt
Filed under: uncultured bacterium
Lineage: Bacteria
Description: partial 16S ribosomal RNA
Rfam family: Bacterial small subunit ribosomal RNA
Source: RNAcentral